This 95-nucleotide signal recognition particle RNA is filed under the name Blastopirellula sp. Its description in RNAcentral is "signal recognition particle sRNA small type". It matches the Rfam family "Bacterial small signal recognition particle RNA". From Rfam's summary of the family: The signal recognition particle (SRP) is a universally conserved ribonucleoprotein involved in the co-translational targeting of proteins to membranes. Archaeal SRP consists of a 7S RNA and homologues of the eukaryotic SRP19 and SRP54 proteins. Lineage: Bacteria; Pseudomonadati; Planctomycetota; Planctomycetia; Pirellulales; Pirellulaceae. The record is from RNAcentral.
UGCAGUGGCCUUCGCAAGGAGGAUCCGUGAACCUGGUCAGACGGUAACACGAGCAGCCAUAAGCGGGGUACUCUUGUGCGGAGGCCUCUGGACUG